RNAcentral lists this ribosomal RNA (422 nucleotides) under uncultured bacterium. RNAcentral's name for it is "bacterial SSU rRNA". It matches the Rfam family "Bacterial small subunit ribosomal RNA", at positions 355 to 774 of the family's 1533-position model. The record is from RNAcentral.
UGAGGAAUAUUGGGCAAUGCCCGCAAGGGUGACCCAGCAACGCCGCGUGGAGGAUGAAUGUCGUAAGAUUGUAAACUCCUGUUAGAGGGGAAGAAUAGUACCGGUUGGACCGGUAUAUGACUGUACCCUCAGAGAAAGCCCCGGCUAACUACGUGCCAGCAGCCGCGGUAAUACGUAGGGGGCAAGCGUUGUCCGGAUUUACUGGGUGUAAAGGGCGCGCAGGCGGGAUAAAAAGUCAGUGGUGAAAUCCUACAGCUUAACUGUAGAACUGCCUUGGAUACUUUUAUUCUUGAGUUCGGGAGAGAGAGACGGAAUUCCAGGUGUAGUGGUGAAAUACGUAGAGAUCUGGAAGAACACCAGUUGCGAAGGCGGUCUCUUGGUCCGACACUGACGCUGAGGCGCGAAAGCGUGGGGAGCAAACA